RNAcentral lists this long non-coding RNA (215 nucleotides) under Lathyrus oleraceus (garden pea). RNAcentral's name for it is "Pisum sativum (pea) long non-coding RNA (PSAT_LNC031292)". Lineage: Eukaryota; Viridiplantae; Streptophyta; Magnoliopsida; Fabales; Fabaceae. The record is from RNAcentral.
AAAAAAAGAAGAAGGAAAUGAAUAAUGGAAAUAAAAAUGGCAAAAAUACAAAUGCAUUAAAUGAAGUACAAUGUACCAAUCAUCAUAUGUUGACCAAUAACAUUGAAAGUUAAAGUCAAACAAUCAAAAAUAGAAGUGGAAUGAAGAUUGGAAGUCAAGAAAUGAACAAAAUAUUUUUGGCAUUUUUAAAUAUUUAAAAUUAAACUUGAAUUAAA